Molecule: ribosomal RNA, 1528 nt
Filed under: Kluyvera cryocrescens
Lineage: Bacteria; Pseudomonadati; Pseudomonadota; Gammaproteobacteria; Enterobacterales; Enterobacteriaceae
Description: bacterial SSU rRNA
Rfam family: Bacterial small subunit ribosomal RNA
Source: RNAcentral
AGAGUUUGAUCAUGGCUCAGAUUGAACGCUGGCGGCAGGCCUAACACAUGCAAGUCGAACGGUAGCACAGAGAGCUUGCUCUUGGGUGACGAGUGGCGGACGGGUGAGUAAUGUCUGGGAAACUGCCCGAUGGAGGGGGAUAACUACUGGAAACGGUAGCUAAUACCGCAUAACGUCGCAAGACCAAAGUGGGGGACCUUCGGGCCUCACACCAUCGGAUGUGCCCAGAUGGGAUUAGCUAGUAGGUGGGGUAACGGCUCACCUAGGCGACGAUCCCUAGCUGGUCUGAGAGGAUGACCAGCCACACUGGAACUGAGACACGGUCCAGACUCCUACGGGAGGCAGCAGUGGGGAAUAUUGCACAAUGGGCGCAAGCCUGAUGCAGCCAUGCCGCGUGUAUGAAGAAGGCCUUCGGGUUGUAAAGUACUUUCAGCGAGGAGGAAGGCGGUGAGGUUAAUAACCUCAUCGAUUGACGUUACUCGCAGAAGAAGCACCGGCUAACUCCGUGCCAGCAGCCGCGGUAAUACGGAGGGUGCAAGCGUUAAUCGGAAUUACUGGGCGUAAAGCGCACGCAGGCGGUCUGUCAAGUCGGAUGUGAAAUCCCCGGGCUCAACCUGGGAACUGCAUUCGAAACUGGCAGGCUAGAGUCUUGUAGAGGGGGGUAGAAUUCCAGGUGUAGCGGUGAAAUGCGUAGAGAUCUGGAGGAAUACCGGUGGCGAAGGCGGCCCCCUGGACAAAGACUGACGCUCAGGUGCGAAAGCGUGGGGAGCAAACAGGAUUAGAUACCCUGGUAGUCCACGCCGUAAACGAUGUCGACUUGGAGGUUGUGCCCUUGAGGCGUGGCUUCCGGAGCUAACGCGUUAAGUCGACCGCCUGGGGAGUACGGCCGCAAGGUUAAAACUCAAAUGAAUUGACGGGGGCCCGCACAAGCGGUGGAGCAUGUGGUUUAAUUCGAUGCAACGCGAAGAACCUUACCUACUCUUGACAUCCAGAGAACUUAGCAGAGAUGCUUUGGUGCCUUCGGGAACUCUGAGACAGGUGCUGCAUGGCUGUCGUCAGCUCGUGUUGUGAAAUGUUGGGUUAAGUCCCGCAACGAGCGCAACCCUUAUCCUUUGUUGCCAGCGGUUCGGCCGGGAACUCAAAGGAGACUGCCAGUGAUAAACUGGAGGAAGGUGGGGAUGACGUCAAGUCAUCAUGGCCCUUACGAGUAGGGCUACACACGUGCUACAAUGGCAUAUACAAAGAGAAGCGACCUCGCGAGAGCAAGCGGACCUCAUAAAGUAUGUCGUAGUCCGGAUUGGAGUCUGCAACUCGACUCCAUGAAGUCGGAAUCGCUAGUAAUCGUAGAUCAGAAUGCUACGGUGAAUACGUUCCCGGGCCUUGUACACACCGCCCGUCACACCAUGGGAGUGGGUUGCAAAAGAAGUAGGUAGCUUAACCUUCGGGAGGGCGCUUACCACUUUGUGAUUCAUGACUGGGGUGAAGUCGUAACAAGGUAACCGUAGGGGAACCUGCGGUUGGAUCACCU